GAUGAAAACGUAGCGAAAUGCGAUAAGUAAUGUGAAUUGCAGAAUUCAGUGAAUCAUCGAAUCUUUGAACGCACAUUGCGCCCGCCAGUAUUCUGGCGGGCAUGCCUGUCCGAGCGUCAUUUCAACCAUCAAGCCCCGGGCUUGUGUUGGGGACCUGCGUCCGACGCAGGCCCCGAAAACCAGUGGCGGGCUCGCUGUCCACACCGAGCGUAGUAGCUAACCUCGCUCCGGAGUGGCGCGGGCGCCUGCCGUAAAACCCCCCCAAUUUUACAAGGUUGACCUCGGAUCAGGUAGGAAUACCCGCUGAACUUAAGCAUAUCAAUAAGCGGAGGA
RNAcentral lists this unclassified non-coding RNA (333 nucleotides) under soil metagenome. RNAcentral describes it as "partial contains 5.8S ribosomal RNA, internal transcribed spacer 2, and large subunit ribosomal RNA". The stretch from base 1 to 119 matches the Rfam family "5.8S ribosomal RNA", at positions 35 to 154 of the family's 154-position model. The record is from RNAcentral.